GAUAUUAAACGACAUGGGGUCUAAGUUUUGGAGUACAGUUUUUUUUUGAUAUUGCAAUUAAAGUAAAAUUAAAAAGAAAA
Ochotona princeps (American pika) is the source of this 80-nucleotide non-coding RNA. The record is from Rfam. Lineage: Eukaryota; Metazoa; Chordata; Mammalia; Lagomorpha; Ochotonidae.